UGGGGAAUAUUGGGCAAUGGGGGAAACCCUGACCCAGCAACGCCGCGUGAAGGAAGAAGGCCUUCGGGUUGUAAACUUCUUUUACCAGGGACGAAGAACGUGACGGUACCUGGAGAAAAAGCCACGGCUAACUACGUGCCAGCAGCCGCGGUAAUACGUAGGUGGCAAGCGUUGUCCGGAUUUACUGGGUGUAAAGGGCGUGUAGGCGGAGAUGCAAGUUGGGAGUGAAAUCCCGGGGCUCAACCCCGGAACUGCUUUCAAAACUGUAUCCCUUGAGUGUCGGAGAGGCAAGCGGAAUUCCUAGUGUAGCGGUGAAAUGCGUAGAUAUUAGGAGGAACACCAGUGGCGAAGGCGGCUUGCUGGACGAUAACUGACGCUGAGGCGCGAAAGCGUGGGGAGCAAACAGG
RNAcentral lists this ribosomal RNA (407 nucleotides) under Bacillota bacterium. RNAcentral's name for it is "Firmicutes bacterium partial 16S ribosomal RNA". It matches the Rfam family "Bacterial small subunit ribosomal RNA", at positions 355 to 776 of the family's 1533-position model. The record is from RNAcentral. Lineage: Bacteria; Bacillati; Bacillota.